GUGGGGAAUCUUAGACAAUGGGCGCAAGCCUGAUCUAGCCAUGCCGCGUGAGUGAUGAAGGCCCUAGGGUUGUAAAGCUCUUUCAGCUGGGAAGAUAAUGACGGUACCAGCAGAAGAAGCCCCGGCUAACUCCGUGCCAGCAGCCGCGGUAAUACGGAGGGGGCUAGCGUUGUUCGGAAUUACUGGGCGUAAAGCGCGCGUAGGCGGACUGAAAAGUUGGGGGUGAAAUCCCGGGGCUCAACCUCGGAACUGCCUUCAAAACUAUCAGUCUGGAGUUCGAGGGAGGUGAGUGGAAUUCCGAGUGUAGAGGUGAAAUUCGUAGAUAUUCGGAGGAACACCAGUGGCGAAGGCGGCUCACUGGACGACUGUAGACGCUGAGGUGCGAAAGCGUGGGGAGCAAACAGGAUUAGAAACCCCGGUAGUCC
Molecule: ribosomal RNA, 425 nt
Filed under: uncultured bacterium
Lineage: Bacteria
Description: bacterial SSU rRNA
Rfam family: Bacterial small subunit ribosomal RNA
Source: RNAcentral